RNAcentral lists this ribosomal RNA (991 nucleotides) under uncultured bacterium. RNAcentral's name for it is "bacterial SSU rRNA". It matches the Rfam family "Bacterial small subunit ribosomal RNA", at positions 42 to 1027 of the family's 1533-position model. The record is from RNAcentral.
GCGCGCCUACCAUGCAAGUCGAGCGGUAGCAGGGCUAGUAGCAAUACUAGCUGCUGACAAGCGGCGGACGGGUGAGGAACACGUAGGAAUCUACCCUCAAGCGGGGGACAACCAAGGGAAACUUUGGCUAAUACCGCAUAAUCUCGAGAGAGUAAAGUUACCCGCAAGGGCGACACUUGAGGAGGAGCCUGCGUCCGAUUAGCUAGUUGGUAGGGUAAAAGCCUACCAAGGCAAUGAUCGGUAACUGGUCUGAGAGGACGACCAGUCACACUGGGACUGAGACACGGCCCAGACUCCUACGGGAGGCAGCAGUGGGGAAUAUUGGACAAUGGGGGCAACCCUGAUCCAGCGAUGCCGCGUGAGUGAAGAAGGCCUUCGGGUCGUAAAGCUCUUUAGGUUGGGAAGAAGGAUAUUCGGUGCAUAGCCGAGUAUUUUGACGGUACCGACAGAAUAAGCACCGGCAAACUCUGUGCCAGCAGCCGCGGUAAUACAGAGGGUGCGAGCGUUAAUCGGAUUUACUGGGCGUAAAGGGCGCGUAGGCGGUGAGAUGUGUGUGAUGUGAAAGCCCCGGGCUUAACCUGGGAAGUGCAUCGCAAACUAUCUGACUAGAGUAUAUGAGAGGGUGGCGGAAUUUCCGGUGUAGCGGUGAAAUGCGUAGAUAUCGGAAGGAACGUCAAUGGCGAAGGCAGCCACCUGGCAUAAUACUGACGCUGAGGCGCGAAAGCGUGGGGAGCGAACAGGAUUAGAUACCCUGGUAGUCCACGCCGUAAACGAUGAGUACUAAAGGUUGGCAGGGGAACCUAUCAGUCUUGAAGUUAACACGAUAAGUACUCCGCCUGGGAAGUACGGCCGCAAGGUUGAAACUCAAAUGAAUUGACGGGGGCCCGCACAAGCGGUGGAGCAUGUGGUUUAAUUCGAUGCAACGCGAAGAACCUUACCUACCCUUGACACCCUGCGAAUCCCGAUGAGAGUUGGGAGUGCCGAAAGGAGC